Molecule: long non-coding RNA, 1404 nt
Organism: Cyanistes caeruleus (blue tit)
Lineage: Eukaryota; Metazoa; Chordata; Aves; Passeriformes; Paridae
Source: RefSeq, a predicted model, not a curated record
ACGUCCCCGGCUGCAAGGGACCCGCAAGGGUCAUCCAAGGCCAACUGCUGGCCCUGCACAGGACAGCCCCCGAGGCACAGCGUGUGCCUGAGCGCGUUGUCCGAAGGCUUCUUGAACUCUGUCCGCCUGGCGCUGUGACCACUGCCCUGGGGAGCUUCUUCCAGGGCCCAAACACCCUGUGAGUGAAAAACCUUUUCUUAAUAUCCAGCCUAAAGCUCCCCUGGCUCAGCUUCGUGCCGUUACCGUGAACAUCCCGGGCUGCCUGCUCCUGUGCACCUGCCAGAAGGCACAGCAGCACCGGCAGGGGAUCCAUCCCUCCCCUGGGCUGCCGUGGGGAGAAGGAAGUACUUGCUGCUUGGCUUCUUUGCACGCGGAGAACUCCGAGUAAGCUCCUUCCAAAAUGCCGUGUGCAGCUGGGUCCGGGUUCUCUGCUGCGGGUGUGCUGCAUCUCUGUCGUGAUGGACAUGACAGAGUAAUGCCGAGCCCCAAGUAAAGUGUCAUCUCAGGAAACCCUGUGAAGGUUUUACCGUGAUGAAAGUGCAUAAGAAGUAUCACUGUUACCAUCUCGAACCUCUGUUAAAAUACAACAGAGGCAUAAACUGACCGCAGCACUGAAGCACAGAAAAGACACAAUCCAAGAUGUCCAAAUGAGUGUUCACAAAGCACAGGAAUAACAGGUUUUUUCCUUUAAAUAGCAUUAUUUCUACCGUUUUUCCCCUUCAACGGUAAUGUGGGAGAUGAGGGUAGACCCGAGACUCCUCUUCAUCCUUACCACAGUAGCAGAUCAAGAUUACAUUUUCUGAGGCUGAAAGACAAUUAUCCUCAGUUAAGAAAAAGGAGUAGGUCAUAGACAUGCUUUACAACAAGCUCCUGAUAGGGUUGUAAGAUAGCAAAAAAAAAAAAAAAAUAAAACAAUCCGUAAGGAAAAUGUAUAUGAGCAAUACACACAUUUAGAUUAUUAAUAAUCCCUCAGACUUUGGAACAGUCGAUGCCCUUGUGCAGGUAAGAAGGUGCUUCUUAUACAGCCAGAUGAUUAUGUAAGUGCAGGUUUUACCAGAUCACAUCAACUCCUCAAUUCAUACGUCAUUGCAUAACAGCUCUUACAUUUUAUACUUUCAUAGUCCUCAGUAAAUUCUUUUAGACUUUAUCUACUAUAUAUGCAUAUUCCCAUGCUGCAGGGAGACACCGGAGGAGGGCAGAAGCUCCUGGGCAACUGCGUUCACCCAAACAUGGAUAUUUGCAUAGGACACUAGCUGCAUGGUCCCCUAGCAAAGCAAAAGUCCCUACUCACACAUAAUAUUGAAAAAUUUUGGCCUAGUUUUAUUGCUUGACAUCACUUUUUAAACUUUCUGUAUCAGUACUUACAUUCAAACUGACAUAUAUGAAAGCUGUGACAAAAAAAAA